AUAAUUUUAACAUUAGCUUUAAUAAAAUUUUCCAAUCUGUUGUGAUCAGUUUAAUAUCUGACACCUUUGCUACCUAAGAACUCUGUAUUAAAUGGAUUUUUGGAGCACGGAGAUGGAAGAGGAACUUGGUCUGUCCACUCCACGCAUUCACCCGAUAUUGCAGUGCUUCUGGGAAUGGUGCACUUCCC
This is a non-coding RNA of Chelonia mydas (Green sea turtle), 188 nucleotides long. The record is from Rfam. Lineage: Eukaryota; Metazoa; Chordata; Testudines; Cheloniidae.